AACUUUCAACAACGGAUCUCUUGGUUCUGGCAUCGAUGAAGAACGCAGCGAAAUGCGAUAAGUAAUGUGAAUUGCAGAAUUCAGUGAACCAUCGAAUCUUUGAACGCACAUUGCGCCCGCCAGUAUUCUGGCGGGCAUGCCUGUUCGAGCGUCAUU
Molecule: ribosomal RNA, 156 nt
Filed under: Cordyceps gunnii
Lineage: Eukaryota; Fungi; Ascomycota; Sordariomycetes; Hypocreales; Cordycipitaceae
Also listed under: 3 other names
Description: 5.8S ribosomal RNA
Rfam family: 5.8S ribosomal RNA
About the family: 5.8S ribosomal RNA (5.8S rRNA) is a component of the large subunit of the eukaryotic ribosome. It is transcribed by RNA polymerase I as part of the 45S precursor that also contains 18S and 28S rRNA.
Source: RNAcentral